ACCGUAGCCCGACGUCAACCAACCAGUCUGAUUGAGCUAGCUAUUACCUUGUGUUGUUAAAUAGAUGCCCAAGCAUAAGUCUUUGAAAACACCAAGCUACAAGCUGUUAACUUAAGUGUUAACCUUUAUAGAGCACUUUCUCUGCACUGCGACUCUUUUUUGAACAUCGAAGAUGAGCCACUCCACAUGGAGCACGGGUUUAUGUGGAUGCUGUGAAGACCCCUGUGUUUGUCUAAUAACUUGGUGUUUUCCAUGUGUUACCUUCGGCCAGAAUGCAGAAGUCAUUGAUAAAAAAGCCACAUCUUGUGCUUGUGCGGGGUUGAUUUUCUGUGCCCUUUACUUCUUGGGGGUUCCAUGUUUGUAUUCCUUUACAUAUCGAAGCAAGUUAAGAGGCAAUUAUUCAUUGCCAGGAGAAGCUUGCGGAGAUUGUUGUAUUCAUUGUUGGUGUCUCCAUUGUGCUAUUUGUCAAGAGUAUCGAGAGCUUAAGAAUCGUGGACUUGACCCUUCCAAAGGUGUAGCCAUGGCACCUCCGGCUGUUGCACAAGGUAUGCCUCGUUAGGGUUCAUGAGGCUCACGAUAUUCUUAAAUAAUAAUUGUUACUAUAAAGUCGUUGCAAUGUAAUAAUGUAUUGUGGAUUGUUAAUCUUUCUUGUAUUUUAGAAGAGAUCAUUACUAUUUGAGCUUCUAGUGUAGUAAUAAGGUCUUGGAUUGUUCGUGUUACUGUAGAGUCAUUGCAGUGCAAUAAUGUGCCGUGGACUGUUUAAUGACCCUUCAAUUACAAGAUAGAAGAGGAUUGUGAUUAUUUUA
RNAcentral lists this unclassified non-coding RNA (806 nucleotides) under Hevea brasiliensis (rubber tree). The record is from RNAcentral. Lineage: Eukaryota; Viridiplantae; Streptophyta; Magnoliopsida; Malpighiales; Euphorbiaceae.